CGAAAGUGAUUGUGGGCUGCCUGUGCCCUGGUCAUUGAUACUGCAGGGAGACGAUGCGGAAAGCCUUUCCCUGUGUUUGGAGGGUCCACUCCUGUCCUUGCCAAACCCUGGUGCUUUCCCACA
This 123-nucleotide small nucleolar RNA is filed under the name Nannospalax galili (Upper Galilee mountains blind mole rat). RNAcentral describes it as "Small nucleolar RNA SNORA71 (ENSNGAG00000004528.1)". It matches the Rfam family "Small nucleolar RNA SNORA71". From Rfam's summary of the family: The members of this family belong to the H/ACA class of snoRNAs which bind a number of proteins (including dyskerin, Gar1p and Nop10p) to form snoRNP complexes. This class of snoRNAs are thought to guide the sites of modification of uridines to pseudouridines by forming direct base pairing interactions with substrate RNAs. The record is from Rfam by way of RNAcentral. Lineage: Eukaryota; Metazoa; Chordata; Mammalia; Rodentia; Spalacidae.